RNAcentral lists this long non-coding RNA (408 nucleotides) under Carica papaya (papaya). RNAcentral's name for it is "long non-coding RNA (CPAP_LNC002758)". Lineage: Eukaryota; Viridiplantae; Streptophyta; Magnoliopsida; Brassicales; Caricaceae. The record is from RNAcentral.
AACUCUUUGGGGAGAAUUCUUCAAAAUCUCCUAAGCUUGCUUUGCAUUGGUAACAUCGGCCACUGUUAGAAAUAUAGAUUCAUCAAAACAUUGAUGGAUGAGUGCAAUGGUUUGUUGAUCCUUCUUCUUUGUUCUUGCCAAAACAUUCUUCUCAUUUUGAGUUAAGGAUAUUUUAUCUUCGGGUGGAGUAAAGUCUCUUUCUACAAUAUCUCACACAUCUUGUAAGCCAAGUAUGGCUUUUAUAUAGAAGCAUCAACUCUCAUAGUUUUCUUUUGUAAUAUGAAAAAAUUAGAAAGAAAAUAGAUUAUUGUUAGUCAUCUCUAGAAUUUUAACAAGAAAUCAAACUAUAAUACCACUUUGUUGGAGAUAAGAGGAAGAUAUUAGAGAGACUAAUGAGAAGACUCAAGC